UCGUGCUAGACGGGGGGUCGGCGGUCCCCUGUAACCCGAAACCCGCCCAUGCGGGGUUGAAAAGGCAUCAUGAGACCUGGUCAGGGCGAACCAGGCCAGAGGUGCGGGACGGCUGUGAAGGUCGGGUCUCGCGAUGGCGACCACCGCCAACCCCGCCAGGACCGGAAGGUAGCAACGGUACGCGGACCGGCCGCCAGUCGCGAGGGCGCCUGGCCGGAGCCUGCUCCCCUCUGACCCUCUCCCUGCCAGGACGAAGAUGCCGCACGA
RNAcentral lists this signal recognition particle RNA (267 nucleotides) under Caldifarciminota bacterium. RNAcentral's name for it is "candidate division WOR-3 bacterium signal recognition particle sRNA large type". It matches the Rfam family "Bacterial large signal recognition particle RNA". From Rfam's summary of the family: The signal recognition particle (SRP) is a universally conserved ribonucleoprotein involved in the co-translational targeting of proteins to membranes. Lineage: Bacteria; Pseudomonadati; Caldifarciminota. The record is from RNAcentral.